UACCAGCACCCCGAGUGGUCGGGACGAUUAUUGGGCCUAAAGCAUCCGUAGCCGGUCAUGCAAGUCCUCCGUUAAAUCCACCUGCUUAACAGAUGGGCUGCGGAGGAUACUACAAGGCUAGGAGGCGGAAGAGGCAAGCGGUACUCAGUGGGUAGGGGUAAAAUCCUCUGAUCCAUUGAAGACCACCAGUGGCGAAGGCGGCUUGCGAAUACGCGCUCGACGGUGAGGGAUGAAAGCUGGGGGAGCAAACAGG
Molecule: ribosomal RNA, 253 nt
Filed under: uncultured bacterium
Lineage: Bacteria
Description: partial 16S ribosomal RNA
Rfam family: Archaeal small subunit ribosomal RNA
Source: RNAcentral